GUAAGGAAUAUUGGACAAUGGACGCAAGUCUGAUCCAGUCAUGCCGCGUGAAGGAUUAAGGUCCUCUGGAUUGUAAACUUCUUUUAUAAGGGACGAAAAAAGGCUUUUCUAAGUCGUCUGACGGUACCUUAUGAAUAAGCACCGGCUAACUCCGUGCCAGCAGCCGCGGUAAUACGGAGGGUGCAAGCGUUAUCCGGAUUCACUGGGUUUAAAGGGUGCGUAGGCGGGCAGGUAAGUCAGUGGUGAAAUCCUAGAGCUUAACUCUAGAACUGCCAUUGAUACUAUCUGUCUUGAAUAUUGUGGAGGUAAGCGGAAUAUGUCAUGUAGCGGUGAAAUGCUUAGAUAUGACAUAGAACACCUAUUGCGAAGGCAGCUUACUACGCAUAUAUUGACGCUGAGGCACGAAAGCGUGGGGAUCAAACAGGAUUAGAAACCCGGGUAGUCC
RNAcentral lists this ribosomal RNA (445 nucleotides) under uncultured bacterium. Its description in RNAcentral is "partial 16S ribosomal RNA". It matches the Rfam family "Bacterial small subunit ribosomal RNA", at positions 354 to 796 of the family's 1533-position model. The record is from RNAcentral.